GAUGAACGCUGGCGGCGUGCCUAAUACAUGCAAGUCGAGCGAACAGACGAGGAGCUUGCUCCUAUGAUGUUAUCGGCGGACGGGUGAGUAACACGUGGUUAACCUACCUAUACGACUGGGAUAACUUCGGGAAACCGGAGCUAAUACCGGAUAACAUGUUGAACCGCAUGGUUCAACAGUGAAAGACGGUAUUGCUUUCACUUAUAGAUGGAUCCGCGCCGCAUUAGCUAGUUGGUAAGGUAACGGCUUACCAAGGCAACGAUGCGUAGCCGCCCUGAGAGGGAGGACGGACAGCCGGGAUCAGAGAAACGGCAGCGACUCCGACGGGAGGAAGCAGUAGAGAAUCCUCCGGAAUGGGCGAGAGGGUGACGGUGCAACGCCGCGUGAGUGAUGAAGGUCUUCGGAUCGUAAAACGCUGUUAUUCGGGAGGAUGAAAUGUGUAAGUACCUAUGCACGUCUUGACGGUACCUAAUCAGUAAGCCACGGCUAACUACGUG
RNAcentral lists this ribosomal RNA (497 nucleotides) under uncultured bacterium. RNAcentral describes it as "partial 16S ribosomal RNA". It matches the Rfam family "Bacterial small subunit ribosomal RNA", at positions 28 to 507 of the family's 1533-position model. The record is from RNAcentral.